This 253-nucleotide ribosomal RNA is filed under the name uncultured bacterium. Its description in RNAcentral is "partial 16S ribosomal RNA". It matches the Rfam family "Bacterial small subunit ribosomal RNA", at positions 524 to 776 of the family's 1533-position model. The record is from RNAcentral.
UACAGAGGGGGCAAGCGUUGUUCGGAAUUACUGGGCGUAAAGCGCGCGUAGGCGGUGAUCCAUGUCAGAGGUGAAAGCCUGGAGCUCAACUCCAGAAUUGCCUUUGAAACGGGAUCGCUAGAGUCCGAGAGAGGAUGGCGGAAUUCCUAGUGUAGAGGUGAAAUUCGUAGAUAUUAGGAAGAACACCGGUGGCGAAGGCGGCCAUCUGGCUCGGUACUGACGCUGAGGUGCGAAAGCGUGGGGAGCAAACAGG